AGAAGUUGCUAUUCUGUAGCAGAUGUCACUAUUGAUAUUAGAAAGAAUGGAAAACAGAGCUGCUGCUAAAGUAAGCAAGCUGACAGCUGAGGCAGAAGUGUAUCAACAGCAGUAUGUUCACAGGAUCACCACAUUGACGAUUCAGCCCAGUUAUCUGGCAGUGCAUAAACUCAAUGCUGUUGGUACAAUCACAGAAGAUCAACCAGAGAUAUUUAUCAAAUGCUUAUUAUAUGACAAGACCUACACUGGAUCCUUGGGAUAAUUGUGACAGUCCCAAUCUUUACAAAGACAGGCAAAAAGUUCGUAGACCAUCAUUUGUCUAUGGACCACACUUUGAACACAACUGCUCUGGACAAGCAGGCCUUGGAUUUCUACGUGUUUGUGUCUUUGAUCUGUUAAACUCAGCUGACCCACCACACCCAAGCAGAAC
This 430-nucleotide long non-coding RNA is filed under the name Pongo abelii (Sumatran orangutan). RNAcentral describes it as "lincRNA". The record is from RNAcentral. Lineage: Eukaryota; Metazoa; Chordata; Mammalia; Primates; Hominidae.